Pollicipes pollicipes is the source of this 1074-nucleotide long non-coding RNA. RefSeq lists it as uncharacterized. Lineage: Eukaryota; Metazoa; Arthropoda; Thecostraca; Pollicipedomorpha; Pollicipedidae. The transcript is spliced from 3 exons. The record is from RefSeq and is a predicted model, not a curated record.
CGUGGCCCUCGGGCCGGCCGCGCUUCACGAGCCGCCGCCAGACGACCGGCGCCACAGCGGCAGCUCCGUACACAGCAGCUUCUCCACGUGCACGUACGGCCUGCCCGAGUCGAUCGUGACCCGGCUGAAGGCGCAGCAGCGCCAGGGACGUCAGUACAGGUCACAACAGCUGCCGCAGGAGGACGACUCGCUGGACACGUCGUCGGUCUCGCUGGACGGCGCUGGGCGGGGAAGGUACUGAGCCUGAGCCGGCGGGCUGCUGAACCCUUAUCGCCGCGGCGGGCACCCCGGCGCCGACGCGGGUCACGUCCCACGUUCGGGGUCAUGGAGGUCACGCCGCUGCACGGGGUGUUAGUGCUCCGCGAUGAACGUGCGCGUGUCGCUGAGGAGUGCUCCGACUGUUCACUGGUCGUCAGACUAAAGUAUAUUAUCAACCCGCCAAAUACCGCGUGCAUGUGUUUGUUCACGCGAUUUGGGUACGUCUGCGAGCUUUUAUGGAGCGGUGCUGUGCACUGCUGCAGUUUACUGUUUGCGUGUGCUGUUGUGCCGCGUCGCUGUGCUGCUGUUUUUGAUCUCUUUAUACCGUGGCGCGAGUGCCAUCACUCGCUGUGUCGUGUUCCGCCCGGCUGGGAUCGUCUGGAGCUGUUGACGCGUCCUGCGGAGGUUGUGCCGCGGGCAUAUCCUCCUGCUCCCUUCUUCAGCCUUGUGCAUGAUGUUCAUUUCAGUGCGUGAUUCACUGGAUAUGCACUGCAGAUGCUGGCUCUGUUUUGUGGCUCUGCGGUGAUGACAUGAUAGGUGCCAAGCCCAUUGCAUCCCUUCCUCAAUCUUCCUGCCAUGGAGUGCUCCAAAUACUCAUAUGUUCUAUUUUGCAUUUGUCUUUUAUUGACAACGUAUGCUUGUGUACAAAGUGUCUUUCUUCCGUCAUCGAUGACAUUUGGUAAAACCCCUUUUUGCAGUGUGCUAUCACGGAUGUCGUAAUGUUUUGUCGCAUGCAGGUAAUAUCCAUUCUUGCGACUGCCGUUGCCGGGAGGGACCGUAUUGUAACAGCACAAUCGUGUUAAAAUAAAAUGCGAU